UGACAGUGUUCAUACCGCCCUGCCCUCCGCUCCUCCUCACCGAAAAGGCUUCCUGAGGAAAAAACACUUACUCACCCCACACACACACACACACACACGUUAUAGCUGCUGCGGCCGGCUGGAAAUCACACCGUGGCCGCUCCACAUCUUCCCCUCCUCCUGCUGGAUCCCGGUGCCACAAUCCCUCCGACACACCGGAGACCGGAUGUGCUUCCCCCGCGGCGGGAGCGAGCCGAGCGGCGGAUCAUGAGAAAGGCGCGGCACGGCGCGGCGGCGGCGGCGGAGGAGGAGGAGGAGGACACCCGGACCGAAGCGGAGUUUUUCAGGGAGCCGCACGGACAUGAUGAGUGCAGCAAAAGUUGAUGAAACCGAGGAGAGACGUGGUUGAAGCUUUCGGCACAUGAAUCUACGUUGCAGCUUCCCGCCGAGACUUCCUAUCAGGCUGGCUGUUGCUGAGGUGGAGGUGGAUCUGAAUUGCCCCAAGGCCCCCGUGAUGCCGCCCCCCAAGGGGAUGCUCCUCUGGCUGGGCCUUUUCCUGGCGUCUGCUGGGGUGGUCCUGGUCCUGUGUCUGGGAAUGCCCUACCAGUCUGCCCCCCUGGUGGUGGUUGGGGUGUUCCUGGGCCUUGUGGGCAUGGGCCUGCUGGUCAUCGGACUCUGCAUGGCCAUGAAGAAUCUCCAGGUGGCUGUGCCGGGACACUUUCUGUUGCACCCCCGCACGGGCACACGCUUCAGCCCCCAGCAGGCCCUGGCCAUCCAAAGGCGGCUGGACCGAAUUCGUCGGGAGAUGUCAUCAGACUCUGUCAGUGAAAGAGCAGAACCAGAGCCCUCCCUCCCAUCCACGCCCCCUCCCUGGACUAUGGAGCCGCCUCCAUCCUAUGACACAGUGAUGAAAGGCCAAGAGCCCAGUGAGCAGCUUUAACCUCGUGUAGACGUCUUCACUUUGUGUCAGUGCCUUUUUGUCUUCGGUUUGAACGAGAACCUUUUAACAAACAGUCGGUGCUAUUGAUGAGCUUGCUGCAGAGGGUAUCUUGUGUGCCUUAGGACCGCCGCCUGAUCCCAAACACAAGUCAAAGAGCAGCAGGAGACUGCAGCUGGUCAAAGAGUUACUGGUGACUACAUGGGACUUUUAAAGGACUUUAAUGAUCACUGCAACGGCUUCACCCUCUACACUAAUGGCCUUUCUGGUGAUGAGCAUUAUGUAAGGCACUUAAGGGAAUGAUAAUAAUAAUAACUUUAUUUGUAUAGCACUUUUCAAUAUAAAUAACAAAGUGCUUUAGAGCAUAAAGAAUCAGCACAGAGUCGAUAUCAACAUGAAAUAAAUACAUUUCAAACAUUACAUCAAAUUAAACAUUACAUCAUAAAAGCCUUCCUGUAAAAGUGUGUCUGGAGGAGCGAGGUAAAAUGAGGAACAGACUCUACAACCCUGAUUUCCUCUGGCAGGUCACUCCAGAGUCGCCUUUUGUUUUCAGCCUAGCUCUUGGAAGGGCUAGCAGGGCCUUAACAGCAGAUCUCAGACUGCAAGCUGGUUUUUGUGACUGAGAUAACGGCUGGGGCUAGGCCAAGCCUGGCCUUAAAAACAAAGAAAAGAAUUUUAAAAUCAAUCCUAAAACGAACAGGCAGCCAGUGCAGGGAUGCUAAAACCACGGUGAUGUGGUCAUGUUUUUUAGACCCAGUUAAAAGGCGAGCUGCUGCAUUUUGAACUAACUGAAGUGAUUUCUGGCUGAGACAGGCAUAUAAGCUAUUACAGUAGUCGAGGCGUGAAGAAAUAAAAGCAUGUUGAUUUGAUUUAGUUUCUCUAAAUCUGUGGCUGAGAUAAAAGACCUGACUUUGGCCAUGUUUUUCAAUGUCUGGACGACUUUCUUCACAUGAGGUUCAAAGUUCAAGUCCUGGUCAAAAAGAACUCUGAAGUUUCUGGCUGAGAGUUUUACAAGAGGAGUUAAAUCACCAAGGCUUUCCAAAAUUAAUUUUCUUUUUUAGGAUGGGCCGAUAACAUGACAUCAGAUUUGGAUGGAAAAUUGUCUGACAUCCAGUAUUUUAUUUCUUUGAUACAAUUGUGGAGGGCUGCUAUAUUAGAUUGAUCUCCGGGCUUCAUUGGGAUAUGUAAGUGUGUCAUUUGCAUAACAAUGAAAUUGGAGCUAAAGAUACAGAAAAGUAUCUGUUAAAAAGGUAAGACCAGAACCAAUCCAAGGUCACCUCAGUGAUUCUCAGCCACUUCUAUAACCUGUCAAUUAAAAUAUCAUGAAUGCGGCACUGAGGUCCAACAGAACUAAGAAGUAGCACUCACCGGCAUCUUCAGCUAAGAGGAGAUCAUUGCAAACUUUAAGGAGAACUGAUUCAGUGCGUGAUCGAAAGCUGGAUUGGAAUUUUUUGAGUAAGUUAUUGACUGAUAGAUGAGUUAUUGUUUGAAUACAGUUUUUUUCUAGGACCUUUGCUAAAAAAGGGAGCUUUGAGACAGAUUCUCAAAGAUUAAGAAAUUCCCCCGCAAGAGCAUCACCAGGACAGCAAACAUGAAUGCUAUGCAGACCUGGUCAUAAUUAGGUAAAAACAGAGCGAGCAGAGAAUUCAGAGAUAAAAGUGCCAUUGGGCUCAGGAGGGCGGUAAACUAAAAGGAAUAAAACAGGCUGAUGCUUAUUAAUACAAAAUGUUAAGCUUUCGAAGGAGGAGAAUUCCCCACAGGGAACAGGCUUAUAAAAGAAACUGUCUCUGUAGACGACAGCGAGGCCAGAUGGACGGAGUUUCUGCGCACAUGAGAAUGCUGGAGGUGUGGCUUUGUUCGGGGUGCUGUAUUCAUCUGGUUUCGACCAUGUUUCAGUCGUACAAAAAAUAUCAGUGUCAUUGGAGGUAAUAAAGUCAUUGCACAAAAAAUAUUUGUUAUUUAGGGACCUCACAUUUAAAAGGCUAAUCUUUAUAGAAUGAUGUAAACGGAUUGGCUGCAAGUCUCCUGGAGACGCUUCAUUAGGUUAAUUUACUGGCCUUUGUGAUUUUAUGUGACCUACUACUGUGGCUGCACAGCAUGAAAUUAUCUCUCCUUCAGGCUGCUCUUUGUAUCUGCACACUUUUUUCUGUCAUAACUUGGCACAAAUUUUAUUGACAGCUUCCUUCAAGUGCCUUAACCAGGGACAGCAGAAUGUUGAUAGCACAGUGUUACCCAUCUUUCAGCUUUGCAUCCAGUGUUUGCUCAAUGUCCACUGUAAGUUUUAUGUUGUGAUGUUCCUAUAAACUUGAGUUAAUAAAUAGCUUUGGAGCUCUCUGGGUGGUUUUGCUCUUGAGAGAUAAUAAAUUGUUUAUUUA
Echeneis naucrates (live sharksucker) is the source of this 3291-nucleotide long non-coding RNA. Lineage: Eukaryota; Metazoa; Chordata; Actinopteri; Carangiformes; Echeneidae. The record is from Ensembl.